Molecule: ribosomal RNA, 253 nt
Filed under: uncultured bacterium
Lineage: Bacteria
Description: partial 16S ribosomal RNA
Rfam family: Bacterial small subunit ribosomal RNA
Source: RNAcentral
UACGGACGGGGCAAGCGUUGUUCGGAAUCAUUGGGCGUAAAGGGCGCGUAGGUGGUUCUGUAUGUCUACCGUGAAAGCGUACGGCUCAACCGUAUUUUGUCGGUGGAAACUGCAGGACUUGAGGCUGGGAGGGGCUGGUGGAAUUCCCUGUGUAGCGGUGAAAUGCGUAGAGAUGGGGGAGAACACUCGUGGCGAAGGCGGCCAGCUAGACCAGUUCUGACACUGAGGCGCGAAAGCUAGGGGAGCAAACGGG